CAGUAGCGUAUAUUAAAGUUGUUGCAGUUAAAACGCUCGUAGUUGGAUUUCUGAUUGACCUCGAUGGCCCGGUUCCUCACGGAACUGAGUGCUGUUGAGUGUCGAUCAUCCUUUCAGUAAGUUGUGCCUACCGUUCGCGGCAGGGCGCUGCAAGCUGGAUCUUUUACUUUGAAAAAAUUAGAGUGUUUCAAGCAGGCUUACGCUUUGAAUACAUUAGCAUGGAAUAAUAAGAUAGGACUUUAGUCUUUCUUGUUGGUUUCAAAGACUGAAUUAAUGAUUGAUAGGGAUAGUUGGGGGUGCUAGUAUUCAGCGGCCAGAGGUGAAAUUCUUGGAUUCGCUGAAGACUAACUACUGCGAAAGCAUUCACCAAGGAUGUCUUCUUUAAUCAAGAACGAAAGUUGGGGGAUCGAAGACGAUUAGAUACCGU
Molecule: ribosomal RNA, 427 nt
Filed under: uncultured eukaryote
Lineage: Eukaryota
Description: bacterial SSU rRNA
Rfam family: Eukaryotic small subunit ribosomal RNA
Source: RNAcentral